This 441-nucleotide ribosomal RNA is filed under the name uncultured bacterium. Its description in RNAcentral is "partial 16S ribosomal RNA". It matches the Rfam family "Bacterial small subunit ribosomal RNA", at positions 338 to 795 of the family's 1533-position model. The record is from RNAcentral.
CCUACGGGAGGCAGCAGUGGGGAAUAUUGCACAAUGGGGGAAACCCUGAUGCAGCGACGCCGCGUGAGUGAAGAAGUAUUUCGGUAUGUAAAGCUCUAUCAGCAGGGAAGAAGAAAGACGGUACCUGACUAAGAAGCCCCGGCUAACUACGUGCCAGCAGCCGCGGUCAUACGUAGGGGGCAAGCGUUAUCCGGAUUUACUGGGUGUAAAGGGAGCGUAGACGGCUGUGCAAGUCUGAAGUGAAAGCCCAGGGCUCAACCCUGGGACUGCUUUGGAAACUGUGGAGCUAGAGUGCUGGAGAGGUAAGUGGAAUUCCUAGUGUAGCGGUGAAAUGCGUAGAUAUUAGGAGGAACACCAGUGGCGAAGGCGGCUUACUGGACAGUAACUGACGUUGAGGCUCGAAAGCGUGGGGAGCAAACAGGAUUAGAUACCCUAGUAGUC